AUUGAACGCUGGCGGCAGGCCUAACACAUGCAAGUCGAACGAGUGGCGGACGGGUGAGUAAUGUCUGGGAAACUGCCUGAUGGAGGGGGAUAACUACUGGAAACGGUAGCUAAUACCGCAUCCCAUCGGAUGUGCCCAGAUGGGAUUAGCUAGUAGGGGGGGUAACGGCUCACCUAGGCGACGCUCACUAGCUGGUCUGAGAGGAUGACCAGCAACACUGGAACUGAGACACGGUCCAGACUCCUACGUGAGGCAGCAGGGGGGAAUAUUGCACAAUGGGCGCAAGCCUGAUGCAGCCAUGCCGCGUGUAUGAAGAAGGCAUUAGGGUUGUAAAGUACUUUCAGCGGGGAGGCGUUACCCGCAGAAGAAGCACCGGCUAACUCCGUGCCAGCAGCCGCGGUAAUAC
This 406-nucleotide ribosomal RNA is filed under the name uncultured bacterium. RNAcentral describes it as "partial 16S ribosomal RNA". It matches the Rfam family "Bacterial small subunit ribosomal RNA", at positions 30 to 526 of the family's 1533-position model. The record is from RNAcentral.